GGAGUAAAGUAGGGGAUCGAAAGACCUUGCGCUUAAGGAGCGGCCGAUGUCUGAUUAGCUAGUUGGUGGGGUAAAGGCCUACCAAGGCGACGAUCAGUAGUUGGUCUGAGAGGACGACCAACCACACUGGGACUGAGACACGGCCCAGACUCCUACGGGAGGCAGCAGUGGGGAAUUUUGGACAAUGGGCGCAAGCCUGAUCCAGCCAUGCCGCGUGAGUGAAGAAGGCCUUCGGGUUGUAAAGCUCUUUCAGUUGGGAAGAAACGAUUGCAACUAAUAAUUGUAAUUAAUGACGGUACCGACAGAAGAAGCACCGGCUAACUACGUGCCAGCAGCCGCGGUAAUACGUAGGGUGCGAGCGUUAAUCGGAAUUACUGGGCGUAAAGGGUGCGCAGGCGGUUUUGUAAGUCAGAUGUGAAAUCCCCGGGCUUAACCUGGGAAUGGCGUUUGAAACUACAAAGCUAGA
Molecule: ribosomal RNA, 466 nt
Filed under: uncultured Nitrosomonas sp.
Lineage: Bacteria; Pseudomonadati; Pseudomonadota; Betaproteobacteria; Nitrosomonadales; Nitrosomonadaceae
Description: bacterial SSU rRNA
Rfam family: Bacterial small subunit ribosomal RNA
Source: RNAcentral